Molecule: small RNA, 92 nt
Filed under: Rhizobium mongolense
Lineage: Bacteria; Pseudomonadati; Pseudomonadota; Alphaproteobacteria; Hyphomicrobiales; Rhizobiaceae
Description: sRNA Atu_Ti1
Rfam family: Rhizobiales sRNA Atu_Ti1
Source: RNAcentral
GUCCAGGUUGCGGCGGACCAAGCCCAAGCGCCUGCCAAGGCGAUCGCGACAGCUGGCCGAAUUCGGGCUACGAGGCCGAUCAGGCCGGCUGU